This 320-nucleotide ribosomal RNA is filed under the name uncultured bacterium. Its description in RNAcentral is "bacterial SSU rRNA". It matches the Rfam family "Bacterial small subunit ribosomal RNA", at positions 470 to 789 of the family's 1533-position model. The record is from RNAcentral.
UGACGGUACCUGACUAAGAAGCCCCGGCUAACUACGUGCCAGCAGCCGCGGUAAUACGUAGGGGGCAAGCGUUAUCCGGAAUUACUGGGUGUAAAGGGUGCGCAGGUGGUAAGGCAAGUCAGGAGUGAAAUGCCGGGGCUCAACUUCGUGUCUGCAUUUGAAACUGUAGUUCUUGAGUGCUGGAGAGGCUAACGGAAUUCCUAGUGUAGCGGUGAAAUGCGUAGAUAUUAGGAGGAACACCAGUGGCGAAGGCGGUUAGCUGGACAGUAACUGACGCUGAGGCGCGAAAGCGUGGGUAGCAAACAGGAUUAGAUACCCUG